RNAcentral lists this ribosomal RNA (731 nucleotides) under Agyneta rurestris. RNAcentral describes it as "SSU rRNA". It matches the Rfam family "Eukaryotic small subunit ribosomal RNA", at positions 134 to 874 of the family's 1831-position model. The record is from RNAcentral. Lineage: Eukaryota; Metazoa; Arthropoda; Arachnida; Araneae; Linyphiidae.
UGUUACUUGGAUAACUGUGGCAAUUCUAGAGCUAAUACAUGCAGCAGAGCUCCGACCUUCGGGAACGAGCGCUUUUAUUAGACCAAAAUCAAUCGGGCCUCGUGUCCGUUGAACGUGGUGACUCUGUAUAACUUUGGGCUGAUCGCACGGGCUUGUCCCGGCGACGUAUCCUUCAAGUGUCUGCCUUAUCAACUGUCGAUGGUAGGUUAUGCGCCUACCAUGGUCGUAACGGGUGACGGGGAAUCAGGGUUCGAUUCCGGAGAGGGAGCCUGAGAAACGGCUACCACAUCCAAGGAAGGCAGCAGGCGCGCAAAUUACCCACUCCCGGAACGGGGAGGUAGUGACGAAAAAUAACRAUACGGGACUCUUUUGAGACCCCGUAAUUGGAAUGAGUACACUCUAAAUCCUUUAACGAUUAUCAAUUGGAGGGCAAGCCAAGUGCCAGCAGCCGCGGUAACACUUGCUCCAAUAGCGUAUAUUAAAGUUGUUGCGGUUAAAAAGCUCGUAGUUGGAUCUCAGUUCUAGUCUAGCGGUCUGCCUACCGGCAGUCACUGCUGGUUCUGAACAACCAGUCGGUUUCCCUUGRUGAUCUUCRCCGGUUGUCUCGGGUGACCGACRMGUUUACUUUGAAUAAAUUAGAGUGCUCAAAGCAGGCGUGACGCCUGAACAAUGGUGCAUGGAAUAAUGGAAUAGGACCUCGGUUCUAUUUUGUUGGUUUUCGGAACACGAGG